Molecule: long non-coding RNA, 390 nt
Organism: Pseudophryne corroboree (corroboree frog)
Lineage: Eukaryota; Metazoa; Chordata; Amphibia; Anura; Myobatrachidae
Exons: 3
Source: RefSeq, a predicted model, not a curated record
CGUUAUUUUAUUUGGAAUCACUUACACUUUAUUUGUUUGGUGUGCCUUACAACACUAAUCUUCUGUUGUUUUUGGAGGAGCAGGUGUCUUAUUUUGGGAGAAUUAUCCCGUUAUUUUAUUUGGAAUCACUUACACUUUAUUUGUUUGGUGUGCCUUACAACACUAAUCUUCUGUUGUUUUUGGAGGAGCAGGUGUCUUAUUUUGGGAGAAUUAUCCCGUUAUUUUAUUUGGAAUCACUUACACUUUAUUUGUUUGGUGUGCCUUACAACACUAAUCUUCUGUUGUUUUUGGAGGAGCAGGUAAGUCCCCUUGGCCUGUGUUUGUGGCUGUUUGUGUUUGUUCAAAGUGUUUUGCUUAUGUUUGUCAUCCAUCUUUAUAAUAAAUUAACUA